Molecule: ribosomal RNA, 429 nt
Filed under: Chloroflexota bacterium
Lineage: Bacteria; Bacillati; Chloroflexota
Description: Chloroflexi bacterium partial 16S ribosomal RNA
Rfam family: Bacterial small subunit ribosomal RNA
Source: RNAcentral
UGGGGAAUAUUGCACAAUGGGCGCAAGCCUGAUGCAGCCAUGCCGCGUGUAUGAAGAAGGCCUUCGGGUUGUAAAGUACUUUCAGCGGGGAGGAAGGGAGUAAAGUUAAUACCUUUGCUCAUUGACGUUACCGACAGACGAAGCACCGGCUAACUCCGUGCCAGCAGCCGCGGUAAUACGGAGGGUGCAAGCGUUAAUCGGAAUUACUGGGCGUAAAGCGCACGCAGGCGGUUGAUUGAGUCAGAUGUGAAAUCCCCGGGCUUAACCCGGGAAUUGCAUCUGAUACUGGUCAGCUAGAGUCUUGUAGAGGGGGGUAGAAUUCCAUGUGUAGCGGUGAAAUGCGUAGAGAUGUGGAGGAAUACCGGUGGCGAAGGCGGCCCCCUGGACAAAGACUGACGCUCAGGUGCGAAAGCGUGGGGAGCAAACAGG